GCCGGGGUGGCCGAGCCUGGUCCAAGGCGCGGGCCUUGAGAGCCCGUCCCCGCAAGGGGGCCCGGGUUCAAAUCCCGGCCCCGGCGCCA
Molecule: transfer RNA, 89 nt
Filed under: Caldivirga sp. CIS_19
Lineage: Archaea; Thermoproteati; Thermoproteota; Thermoprotei; Thermoproteales; Thermoproteaceae
Also listed under: 2 other names
Description: tRNA-Ser
Rfam family: tRNA
About the family: Transfer RNA (tRNA) molecules are approximately 80 nucleotides in length.
Source: RNAcentral